This 2479-nucleotide ribosomal RNA is filed under the name Halichondria sp. HK-2019. RNAcentral's name for it is "16S ribosomal RNA". It matches the Rfam family "Bacterial large subunit ribosomal RNA". Lineage: Eukaryota; Metazoa; Porifera; Demospongiae; Suberitida; Halichondriidae. The record is from RNAcentral.
UUAGUAUAAAUAAAUAACAAAUGAAUGACUAGGAUGUUAUAAUGAGGACGUUAUUAAAAUACGAAAAGUUGGUGAAGAAAAAAUGAAGCCAAAUUUCCUAUAGAAAACGCAAUUAUAAAUUAAAAUCUCAGGAACUGAAACAUCUCAGUACUAGAGAGGAAAGAAAUCAAGCGAGAUUCCGUCAGUAGUGGUGAGCCGAAAUCAAGCGAGAUUCCGUCAGUAGUGGUGAGCGAAGGCGGAGGAGACCUAAUAAGUUUUAUUCAUAAUAAUCCAAAUCCAUAGAGGUUAACAGCCCCGUAGAUUGUUAUGACUAAAAUGUACGAUUUGAGUAGAAUUAUUUGAAGACAGGUGGUCCAUACAUCUAAAACUAAAUCUUAUAACAUACCCAUAGUGUACGAGUACUGUGAAGGAAAGUUGAAAGAGAGAAUAUAUACUUAAAAUGAAAUAGAUUCUGAAAUUUGUUAUUUACAAGCAGACGAUUUUCGUCGUACCUUUUGCAUAAUGGGUUCGUGAGAAAAAUAUUUGGCAAACUUAAGUUUAUAAACGCAGGUGCAGUGAAAAUGAGUUUUAAUGUUAAGAGCUUUAGUCAAAUAGAGCCCGAUACCUAGUGAGCUAACCAUGGGCAGUUUGAAGCGUCCCUAAUAGGAAGUGGAGGAACGAACUGGUGAUUGUGGCAAAAAUCUCAGAUGAUCUGUGGUUAGGGGUAAAAAGCCAAUCGAACUAGGAAAUAGCUGGUUUUCUGCGAAAGCUAUUUAAGUAGUGCGUCAUCUAACUAUUCUUACAUGGUAAAGCACUGAAUGGGGACAUCUAUAGGGUGUAUUCAACCAAACUAUGAAAGUGUAAGAAGAAAGAUGAUAGACAGACAGCGGGCGAGAAGGUCCCUUGUCAAAAAGGAAACAACCUAGAUCAGAAGUUAAGGUCAUAAAAAUUAACUAAGUGUAAAAGGAGCCAAUAGACUGAGACAACAAGAAAGUGGGCUUGGAGCCAGCCAUCUUUGAAAGAUUACGUAACAGUUCACUUGAUAAAUUUAUAGGUUUCUAAAAUUUUGGUGGCUUAAGUUUAUUUUAAGUGACAACCGAAACUCUGGAUAUAUGGUAGCAGAACGUUCUGUAAUUUAUAGAUUACGAAAGUUAAUCAGAAGUGAUAAUGCGAGCAUGAGUAAACAACAGUGUGAGAAUCACUGUCAUAGCCCUAGGGUUCCAAUAGUUGAGAUUAUCAUGAUUGGGUUAUACAGCCCCUAAGAGUGUAUCAAUGGGAAAAAAUUAAUAAGUGAAAAGUUUAAUUUAAUAAGCUGUACUUAAACUAACACAAGUGGGCUAAAAGUGAUGGUAUAAUUUAUCUUAAGGAACUCGGCAAAAUGACCCUGUAAGAUAGCGAGAAGGGGUGCCUAAUCUUAAUAGGCAUGAUAUUAAGACUAGGCCUCAGAAAAGAGGGGGUGUCGACUGUUUACCAAAAACAUAGCUUCCACCAAAGGCCUGUGAGGCUGAAGCAUUGGAGGUGAGGCCUGCCCAGUGGUUGUAUCUCAACCCAUGUUAUUAACGAAGUAACAUGAUUAAGGACAAUUAAAUGGCCGCGGUAAAUCUGACCGUGAUAAUGUAGCGCAAUCAAUAGCCAAUUAAUUGUUGGCAAGUAUGAAUGGCGUAACGAAUGCCCCACUGUCUCAAGAUAAAAACCAAUGAAAUUGAAAUCGUGGUGAAGAUGCCACGUACAAAUUGUAAGACGAGAAGACCCCAUUGAGCUUUACUGGAGGCUUAUAUUGUUUUUUUUAAAAUUAAUGUGUAGAUUAUGUGGGUAUAUUAUGAAAAACCACUCAUUAAUUAUAAAAAAACUGAUCGAGUAUACGCCGGACAGUUUGGUUGGGGCGACCACCUUCUAAAAAGUAACGAAGGUGUACAUAAGGUAAAUAAUAUAAUAGUAUAAAGCAAAAAGCCUGACAGCAAGGGGAACUCCCGAGCUGACACGGGGAAAACACCCCCGUGGGUUAUAAUGACCCGUUAGUUAAGAGUGGGUUUGCUAACGAGCAACGAAUAAAAGUUACCAUGGGGAUAACAGCGUAAUAUCGUUCGAGAGUUCAUAUCGACGACGAUGUUUGCGACCUCGAUGUUGAAUUGCGGUAUCCUAGAGGUGCAGCCGCUUCUAAGGGUUGGACUGUUCGUCCAUUAAAACCGUACAUGAUUUGAGUUCAGACCGGCGUGAGCCAGGUCGGUUUCUAUCUACAAUUUGUUUUGGAAACAUUAGAUAUAACUACACUCUAGUACGAAAGGACCGAGUGAUAGGUAUCCGCUGGUGUACCAAUUACUAAUUAUUACGGUUGUUGGGUGGCUACGAUAAAAAUAAAUAAUCCCUGAAUGCAUCUCAAGGGAGAAGUAAAAUAUUAUUCUUUGUUUCUAUUAAAAGACUGUUUGAGAAUAAGACACAGAUAGGGUCUAUGUAAAUUAUAUUACGAUUUGCUUAAGACUACUAAGCUUGUAAAAAUUAC